RNAcentral lists this ribosomal RNA (243 nucleotides) under uncultured bacterium. Its description in RNAcentral is "partial 16S ribosomal RNA". It matches the Rfam family "Bacterial small subunit ribosomal RNA", at positions 534 to 776 of the family's 1533-position model. The record is from RNAcentral.
GCUAGCGUUGCUCGGAAUCACUGGGCGUAAAGCGCACGUAGGCGGAUUGCUAAGUCAGGGGUGAAAUCCUGGAGCUCAACUCCAGAACUGCCUUUGAUACUGGUGAUCUUGAGUCCGGGAGAGGUGAGUGGAACUGCGAGUGUAGAGGUGAAAUUCGUAGAUAUUCGCAAGAACACCAGUGGCGAAGGCGGCUCACUGGCCCGGUACUGACGCUGAGGUGCGAAAGCGUGGGGAGCAAACAGG